AGUCUGGAGACAGGGAAGAUCCUCCGGACAGAGCCAGUACCACAACUGGGCCACAUGGAGUACCAGCUGCUCAAGUUCUUCAUCCUGCUUAUCGUCCUGCUCGUCAUGUCCUCCUGUUACCUGGCCUUCCGUGUGUGUUGUCUAGAGCAGCAGCUGUCCUUCCUUAACACACAUCCCACAAUGCCCAUGAGAGAGAGGUAACACUUGCUGUAUGCUGCGUCAACAUUGGACAGAUGGUCUGUCAGUCACGGAGGUACUCCUGGCUAUUGGGCAAACAGAGACUCUGUUUGUUUACCUGUUCACUCUGUCCCACCCUGUAGGUGUGGAGAAGUGCCCUGCUGGUUCAAUGAAAAGACAAUGACUUGAGAAAAUCCAAGACCUGAAGCCAAAACUGCAGUUAAAUAGACAGUCCAAUAGGGGGUGCCAGAGAGACAAGAAUCCUCUUGUCGUUCCCUAGAAAGACUAUGGACUGCAGACAAAAGACUGGAAUGGAAGGAGGAGGAUAGAGGAGGAUUGGAAUUAGACGACUACAGAGUAGGUGUCAAUGGGACAGUGCCAAUGGAGUUCACCUGACCUUUGACCUCAAUGUCCUUGUUUUACUCAGAUUCUGCCAUGGAACUUUACAAUACCAGUCAACUGAUCAGACACUUCCUGGUCCAGGAUUUUAGAGACAGAGCCUGUUGUCAGAGACAGAGCCUGUUGUCAGAGACAGAGCCUGUUGUCAGAGACAGAGCCGUUUUCAACAGGAAUAGACUGUACCCAGUAGGAGAGUUGCUACGAGAGAGACUGAAGAAAGAUUGAAUAUGAGAAGGCAUUCCGAUCAGGAACUCAACCUGACCUGGUCAACCAUUUCCAACCGUAGCCCACCUUGCAAUGUUUACUGAGCAUGGUCACUGAGACAUAACCACUCCUGAAACACUAAGGAAAAAUAGAAACCAUUUCAAUGGACACUAUUACCAGAGGUUUAACAUUUCUGUCAGAAUUUGAAGAUGCUGUGCUAGAGUUAUAGCUGUCUUGUCAUGCCAACUGAAAACAUGAUACUGUGUGUGUCAGGUGAGGUUGUGAAAGUGUGUAUGUAUGUGUGUGUCUUGUGUGUGUUUGAGUGUAUUAACCAUUAUUUGUGUGACUUAACAAGUGGCUAGGACUGUCUCAAGGUAGUUGGUAGCUUCUCCAUCUGAUAAGCCAUGACGUCUGCGUCAUGUCAUGUAAUACUAGAUAUUGACUGAAUUGUAAAGGGAUUGUCUGUGACACUGUGUUGGAUGGAGUGGAACUUUGGAAGUGAACUGCGAGAAAGCAGUGAAACUAUUCAGAGAGAGAGAGGAAAGAAAGACAAAGAGACAGAGAGACAGGAGACAGAGAGGAGACAGAGAGGAGAGAGC
Salvelinus sp. IW2-2015 is the source of this 1379-nucleotide long non-coding RNA. RefSeq lists it as uncharacterized. NCBI's taxonomy places the organism in Eukaryota, Metazoa, Chordata, Actinopteri, Salmoniformes, Salmonidae. The record is from RefSeq and is a predicted model, not a curated record.